This 726-nucleotide long non-coding RNA is filed under the name Fukomys damarensis (Damara mole-rat). RNAcentral describes it as "lncRNA (ENSFDAG00000031504.1)". The record is from RNAcentral. Lineage: Eukaryota; Metazoa; Chordata; Mammalia; Rodentia; Bathyergidae.
CCCGCCGCCAGUGACAGCGUCCCGUGGCCCGAGCCUUAGCCUCCCUAGUGCAGUGAGAGAUCCCGAGAGCGGACGGUUUCCACGCCUCCCGGCCCUGAACAAGCAAUGCUGGAGCAAAGGGCUUCGUUCUCUUCUGGAAGCAGAAGCGUCCGAAGCUCGAGUCACUUAUGCGUGGCAAGUCCCGUCCCGCGCAGCGUUCCCAGCUGGGUCCUCUGACGUUUCCGCAAACAUCUCAGCUAAGAAAGAAAGGUUAGCCAAUCUUUAUACCAGUAAACAAACAUGGGCUAUCUAAUAUGCGAAGUUUUCUGUUCUGAUACAGAUUUGCACAUUUUAAAAAUACCUCAACAGGUCCACUUACCACACCCUCCGACUCCCUUCUCGUAAGCCGGGAGCAUUGUGAAGAGAUGUGCUAUGGUUAAAUGAGCUGCAUCUAAUGCGAUUAUUAAACCACCAUAUCUUCACACACUGGGGAUUGAAUGCAGGACUUUUACAAUGAGCUACUUCCCCAGCCCUUUUUAAAUGUUUUUAUUUUGAAACGUCUUACUAAAUCGCCCCAAGCUGGGCUCUUGCAGUCCUCCUGCUUCCACCUUCCAGAGUACUAGGAUUACAGGUGUGUACUACCACCCCCACCCUUCCCCACCCCCAGCCACCGUAAUCUUGAGUUGUUAUCCUCUGAACAAUCUGUGGUCCUCCAGCCUCAGUCUCCCUAGUAGCUGGGAUUACAGG